RNAcentral lists this ribosomal RNA (1403 nucleotides) under Inpabasis rosea. Its description in RNAcentral is "eukaryotic LSU rRNA". It matches the Rfam family "Eukaryotic large subunit ribosomal RNA", at positions 592 to 1722 of the family's 3401-position model. Lineage: Eukaryota; Metazoa; Arthropoda; Insecta; Odonata; Coenagrionidae. The record is from RNAcentral.
AGGAAGCGAGAAGUCGACGCGCCGCAAGGCGUCCGGCCCUCCGCGAGCACCCGCGGGGGAUCGGGUUCCGGACCCGGUCCGAUCCCGUUCCCACCGAGGGGCUGUCCGCGAUCAUGGAGGUGUCCUCGGACGGCGUCGAAUCCUUCUCCAGUCCGCGACGCUACGGCUUGGAUGGUCCACCCGACCCGUCUUGAAACACGGACCAAGGAGUCUAACAUGCGCGCGAGUCGUUGGGUCGGACACGCUCCGCUAAACCCAUAGGCGCAAUGAAAGUGAAGGCCGCCGUCGGGCGGCCGAGGGAGGACGGGGCCGCCCGCGCGUUCCGGCGCGCGUCGGUCCCCGCACCCCCGGGGCGUCUGAUCCCUCAUCGCGAGGGGAGGCGCACCCAGAGCGCACACGUUGGGACCCGAAAGAUGGUGAACUAUGCCUGGCCAGGACGAAGUCAGGGGAAACCCUGAUGGAGGUCCGUAGCGAUUCUGACGUGCAAAUCGAUCGUCGGAGCUGGGUAUAGGGGCGAAAGACUAAUCGAACCAUCUAGUAGCUGGUUCCCUCCGAAGUUUCCCUCAGGAUAGCUUGCGCUCGGAGGAGAGUCUCAUCCGGUAAAGCGAAUGAUUAGAGGCCUUGGGGCCGAAACGGCUUCAACCUAUUCUCAAACUUUAAAUGGGUGAGAACUCCGGCUUGCUCGACUUGUCGAAGCCGGAGACGGGGCUCCGGCCCCCGGGAUCGGAGUGCAUAGUGGGCCACUUUUGGUAAGCAGAACUGGCGCUGUGGGAUGAACCAAACGACGGGUUAAGGCGCCCGAAUCGACGCUCAUGGGAAACCAUGAAAGGUGUUGGUUGCUUAAGACAGCAGGACGGUGGCCAUGGAAGUCGGAAUCCGCUAAGGAGUGUGUAAUAACUCACCUGCCGAAGCAACUAGCCCUGAAAAUGGAUGGCGCUGAAGCGUCGUGCCUAUACCCGGCCGUCGCGGCAGGGCGGACCCGCGAGGGUGCCGUUCGAUGCGGCGACGAGUAGGAGGGUCGCGGCGGCGCGCGCAGAAGGGUCUGGGCUCGAGCCUGCCUGGAGCCGCCGCCGGUGCAGAUCUUGGUGGUAGUAGCAAAUACUCCAGCGAGGCCCUGGAGGACUGAUGUGGAGAAGGGUUUCGUGUGAACAGCCGUUGCACACGAGUCAGUCGAUCCUAAGCCCUAGGAGAAAUCCGACGCCAACGGCGACGGGAAAAACGAACGAAAGAAACCCGUUGAUCGGGCGAAAGGGAAUCCGGUUCCUAUUCCGGAACCCGGCAGCGGAACCGCUGUUUGUCGGGCCCUCACAAGGGGUUCGUCAGGGUAACCUAAAAGGGCCCGGAGACGCCGUCGGGAGCCCCGGAAAGAGUUUUCUUUUCUGCAUGAGCGUUCGAGUUCCCUG